GUCUGUGGCCAUACCACCCUGAACGUGCCCUAUCUUAUCUGAUCUCACAAGCGAAGCAGGGUCAGACCUGGUUAGUACUCAGAUGGGAGAUUCCUACAUCUACUGGGCUACUGAAU
This 116-nucleotide ribosomal RNA is filed under the name Prolemur simus (greater bamboo lemur). Lineage: Eukaryota; Metazoa; Chordata; Mammalia; Primates; Lemuridae. The record is from RNAcentral.